GCGACUGAAGUGUUCAGGCUGCACGCCGCCCCGCCACGGCGGAAGAGCGAGUUCGAUUCUCGUCAGUCGCUCCA
This 74-nucleotide transfer RNA is filed under the name Myxococcales bacterium. RNAcentral describes it as "tRNA-Gly". It matches the Rfam family "tRNA". From Rfam's summary of the family: Transfer RNA (tRNA) molecules are approximately 80 nucleotides in length. Their secondary structure includes four short double-helical elements and three loops (D, anti-codon, and T loops). The record is from RNAcentral. Lineage: Bacteria; Pseudomonadati; Myxococcota; Myxococcia; Myxococcales.